AGACACCCUUCUGGGGCAAGACUUGCUUCAGUGGGGCUUUGGUGCUCACUGAGUCUUCCCCCUGAGUGUUUCCCU
This is a non-coding RNA of Myotis lucifugus (little brown bat), 75 nucleotides long. The record is from Rfam. Lineage: Eukaryota; Metazoa; Chordata; Mammalia; Chiroptera; Vespertilionidae.